AAAGACUGUAAUCAUAUAUCCAUGGCGGUUUUGAGCUGCCAAACAUACUUUAUCAAUUCUAAAAAAAUUAUAAAGACAAAGCCGUUCAUCUGUUGCUCAUCAUCUCAAAACAACAAUGUGAAGGUAAUCAUAAAUGGAGCUGCUAAGGAAAUUGGCAGAGCUGCCGUUAUUGCUGUCACUAAAGCUAGAGGAAUGGAAUUGGCUGGAGCUGUUGAUUCUAAUUUUGUUGGACAAGAUAUUGGGCAGGUUUGUGACAUGGAAGAGCCUCUAGAAAUACCAAUAAUUAACGACCUUACCAUGGUCUUGGGUUCAAUAUCCCAGUUAAAAGCAACGGGAGUAGUCAUUGAUUUCACUGACCCUUCUACAGUUUACGACAAUGUCAAACAGGCAACAGCAUUUGGGAUGAAUAGUGUUGUUUACGUUCCCAGAAUUAAGCAGGAAACUGUCAUGGCUUUAUCUAUGUUAUGCGACAAGGCCAGCA
This 481-nucleotide unclassified non-coding RNA is filed under the name Hevea brasiliensis (rubber tree). Lineage: Eukaryota; Viridiplantae; Streptophyta; Magnoliopsida; Malpighiales; Euphorbiaceae. The record is from RNAcentral.